GACGAACGCUGGCGGCGCGCCUAACACAUGCAAGUCGAACGAGCGAGAGAGAGCUUGCUUUCUCGAGCGAGUGGCGAACGGGUGAGUAACGCGUGAGGAACCUGCCUCAAAGAGGGGGACAACAGUUGGAAACGACUGCUAAUACCGCAUAAGCCCACGGGUCGGCAUCGACCAGAGGGAAAAGGAGCAAUCCGCUUUGAGAUGGCCUCGCGUCCGAUUAGCUAGUUGGUGAGGUAAUGGCCCACCAAGGCGACGAUCGGUAGCCGGACUGAGAGGUUGAACGGCCACAUUGGGACUGAGACACGGCCCAGACUCCUACGGGAGGCAGCAGUGGGGAAUAUUGCACAAUGGGGGAAACCCUGAUGCAGCGACGCCGCGUGGAGGAAGAAGGUCUUCGGAUUGUAAACUCCUGUUGUUGGGGAAGAUAAUGACGGUACCCAACAAGGAAGUGA
This 452-nucleotide ribosomal RNA is filed under the name uncultured bacterium. RNAcentral describes it as "bacterial SSU rRNA". It matches the Rfam family "Bacterial small subunit ribosomal RNA", at positions 28 to 493 of the family's 1533-position model. The record is from RNAcentral.